ACCUGGCUGGCUCAGUCAGUGGAGCAUGUGACUCUUGAUCUUGGGGUUGUGAGUUUGAGCCCCACGCUGGGUG
This 73-nucleotide transfer RNA is filed under the name Ursus americanus (American black bear). It matches the Rfam family "tRNA". From Rfam's summary of the family: Transfer RNA (tRNA) molecules are approximately 80 nucleotides in length. Their secondary structure includes four short double-helical elements and three loops (D, anti-codon, and T loops). The record is from Rfam by way of RNAcentral. Lineage: Eukaryota; Metazoa; Chordata; Mammalia; Carnivora; Ursidae. RNAcentral also lists the same sequence under 1 other name.